Molecule: long non-coding RNA, 884 nt
Filed under: Mustela putorius furo (domestic ferret)
Lineage: Eukaryota; Metazoa; Chordata; Mammalia; Carnivora; Mustelidae
Description: lncRNA (ENSMPUG00000029874.1)
Source: RNAcentral
AUGGGUGAUGUGGUGAAGAAUUCUGGGUAUUUUGAAUCCAUCACGAUUACAAGUAUGAAAUGUAAACCUGAGAGCAGCUGCGCUGAGAACAUCCCAGUCCAAGGCUCCCUGGAGACUGAGAGGAGGGAGAAGUCAGAAGAGCAACUGAAGGAAAAGUCCAGUCCCCUGAGCUUAGCGGAACAACAGGCUGUUACCUUCCGAUCAGACCUCACACAGAAGCCCCCAGGACCAGGCCAGGGGCAACUGCUGAGGAAGCAAUGUGUCAGCUCAAGUCUUACCCUCUAGCAACCUUUUGGUAAGGGUCAAAACUUUCUGGACGAUCUGAGGGGUUUGAAGACAUUAAAAUUAUUUUUGAUUGAAUUUUAAGUUAUCUUUCUUAACUUUGACUAGCAACUCCAGAUUUUAAGAUCAUUGCCUAGCAUGUUGGAUACUGACCAGUUAAGUGAGAGGAACCAUUCAGGUGGACAUAUGAAUAUCCACCUUUAUUACUGGAGAAGCUGAACUGAAGAACCCAGCCUGAGUUGGCAACCAUCCUCCCUCCCAAAUGCCUUCCCCACCCACUUCCCAUCCAAGACCACAUGGGACCACAUGGGUCUGCCCUAAUUAUGACAUCAGUUAGGGUUUCAUAUUCUCAAGAUGCAGGGAAGAGAGAAAGACCACAAAUGGAGGGGUAUCGCUUUUAAAUAUUAACUACACCUAGGCCAGUCACAUGGCAUCCUCCAAAGAUGUACAUGCUCCUCCAGAAAGGCCAAGAAUUUUACUCUCGAUAAGAGUUCCAUUGAUUGGGGCGCCUGGGUGGCUCAGUGGGUUAAGCCUCUACCUUCGGCUCAGGUCAUGAUGUCAGGGUCCUGCUUCCCCCUCUCUCUCUGUCUGCCUCUCUGCCU